This 462-nucleotide ribosomal RNA is filed under the name uncultured bacterium. Its description in RNAcentral is "partial 16S ribosomal RNA". It matches the Rfam family "Bacterial small subunit ribosomal RNA", at positions 28 to 507 of the family's 1533-position model. The record is from RNAcentral.
GAUAAACGCUGGCGGCGUGCUUAACACAUGCAAGUCGAACGAAGUUUUUCCUUCGGGAGCAACUUAGUGGCGGACGGGUGAGUAACGCGUGGGUAACCUGCCCUGUACAGGGGGACAACAGCUGGAAACGGCUGCUAAUACCGCAUAAGCCCUUAGCACUGCAUGGUGCAUAGGGAAAAGGAGCAAUCCGGUACAGGAUGGACCCGCGGCUGAUUAGCCAGUUGGCAGGGUAACGGCCUACCAAAGCGACGAUCAGUAGCCGAUCUGAGAGGAUGUACGGCCACAUUGGGACUGAGACACGGCCCAGACUCCUACGGGAGGCAGCAGUGGGGAAUAUUGCACAAUGGAGGAAACUCUGAUGCAGCGACGCCGCGUGAGUGAAGAAGUAUUUCGGUAUGUAAAGCUCUAUCAGCAGGGAAGAAAAUGACGGUACCUGACUAAGAAGCACCGGCUAAAUACGUG